This is a long non-coding RNA of Gorilla gorilla gorilla (western lowland gorilla), 939 nucleotides long. RefSeq lists it as uncharacterized. The transcript is spliced from 4 exons. Lineage: Eukaryota; Metazoa; Chordata; Mammalia; Primates; Hominidae. The record is from RefSeq and is a predicted model, not a curated record.
CCCUUUUUGGCACUCUCAGAAGCCCAAGCACAGAGUUCAGAGAAAUGUGAGCACCUGUAUGAAGAGAAGAUGGGUGCAAAGGAAUGAGUGGGGGUUCCUCUUCACCAUCCCUAAAACUGUGGCAGUAUUUAGCAGCAUCGUUGAUGAGGCUGGUCUCAGAACUGUGCAAACAUCUGCCCUGCCUGGCCUCUCAAUGAAAAAGCUUCUACCUCUUAACAGGUAUUUCCACCAACUCGCUGGCCACCUCCCUGUUACAGCGUAAGUCGUACUUCUUUGUCCUUUUCUGGAAAUCAUGAAUGUGAAUGUCAUUUGCAGCAUGCAUUCGUGUAGUGGAUGGAAGUUCUCCACGGACCAGGCUUUCUUCAAGCGCCUUGACACCAACGUGACCCUGACCGACAUUUUCCUUUUUCGUCAUGGCUGUACUUUUCCAUUUAAAUAAGAUGCAAGCCCAUUUCCAUGGGGAUUCCAGGAAGUCUGGAAGGGAGUGAUAAAUAGGAAUGUCAUCUUUGUAUCACAUCACCCCGAAGGACUUUGCUGUGACAGUUAUAAUGUGGUGCCCGGAAGGGUGAAGGAACCACAUAAAGUGCCCAGAGCAGAUGGCUGAUGGCCGGCUCCUCACUGGUGCAUGCCCAGUCUCCCCAGCCCCCAAGUCCCUCACCGCCAGCUGGAUUCCUGUCCUACCAUAGGAGACUUGGAGCUUCCAACAACAUGCUAAUAUUUUCUUUUUAAAUAAAAACGUCACUUUUCUGGAAGGCCUAAUAUAAACAGCUUCUACUCUUAAGUCUCCAAGAAGAGAUGCUGGAAGAAUGGUUUCUUCAAAGGCAAAAGAAUCGCAAAAGGGUUUAUACAGCAACUGUAUGUAAACUUGGGCAAGUUGUUUAGACUCUCCACCUUCGUUUCCUCACCUGUUAAGUGGGUGAUGGUUGCAGUGGGGUUGCU